UUGAAAUCUCAUCAUGGAAGUAAUCUAAUUUUUCAACAAAAUCAAACCAACCCAAUCCCACCCAUCCCCUCUCCUACCUACGACCACAAGGAGGGCUCCAUACCACCAUUCUCUUUGGUUUAGUGUUUGAAAAUCUAGUAAGGGGUUGCUUGACUUUGGGAUCAUGGUGUGUAGUUAGAUUAUUAUAAGAACACAAGGAACACAAGACAAAACUUAUCAUUCCACCUCUUACAAACAACACACAAUACUCUUUCUCUCCUCUCAUACCUACAGCCUAAACACCAUCCCACAACCCUUGAAAAUACCAAACUUAAACACACUAAAAUCACGCUUGAAAUUUCCAUAAGUUAAGGUGUUAGAAGUUUAGGAGGAGUCUUAGAGCCACACCUUAACUUACUACCCUUUAAUCUACCCCUUUUGAAGUGUUUCAUCUUGUGGUAUAAUCCUUGCAUUUUGUUGUUAUUUACAUUCUUAUGUUAUGUUCACUUGCACAACUUAUGUUAUGUUCACUUGCACAAGAAGGUUCAACCAAAUGGGAUUUUAUGAAAGUGGAUGAUCUAACAAGUAAACACUUGGUAAAAAUGGGAUUUUCGAAAAGUCUAUGUGUGUAUCCAUGAGGGUGUGUAGCGUUUUUUUUUUUUUUUUAUGAUUUUGUUGCUUGAUUUUUGAAGUCAUAUAUACUUGUAUGUUUAUGUAAAGCAUGAUGAUUCUUGUUAAGGAUGAAAAUGUUCAUAUGAAGAGUUUGUACUGCAAAUAUAGUUUAAGAAAAGGGUUUAGAAGGUGUUAG
RNAcentral lists this long non-coding RNA (787 nucleotides) under Helianthus annuus (common sunflower). RNAcentral's name for it is "hypothetical non coding rna". Lineage: Eukaryota; Viridiplantae; Streptophyta; Magnoliopsida; Asterales; Asteraceae. The record is from RNAcentral.